This 1434-nucleotide ribosomal RNA is filed under the name metagenome. RNAcentral's name for it is "bacterial SSU rRNA". It matches the Rfam family "Archaeal small subunit ribosomal RNA". The record is from RNAcentral.
UCUGGUUGAUCCCGCCAGAGGUCAUUGCUAUCCGGUUUCUACUUAGCCAUGCGAGUCCAGAGUGGUUAUGCACUCGGCGAACUGCUCCGUAAUAUGCAGUCAACCUACCCUCAGCAAGGAGAUAAUCCCGGGAAACUGGGGCUAAUAUCCUAUAGGUGUUGGGUACUGGAAUGUCCUGACAUUUAAAGCUCAGGCGGCUAAGGAUGGGACUGCACAUGAUUAGGCUGUUGUUGGUGUAAUGAACCAACAAACCGAUAAUCAUUACGAGCUAUGGAAGUAGGAACUCGGAGAUGGAUUCUGAGACAUGAAUCCAGGUACUACGGUACGCAGCAGGCGAGAAACCUUUUCAAUUCGCUAGCGCGAGAAAAGGGGAACCGGAGUGCUCUUGCUCUGCAAGAGCUUUUGCUUUCUGCAAAAAGGAAGGCGAAUAAGGAGUGGGUAAGACGGGUGCCAGCCACCGCGGUAAUACCCGCACUCCAAGUGAUGACCACGAUUAUUGGGCCUAAAGAGCUCGUAGCCGGUUUGGUAAGUCCUUGGUGAAAUCUUCCAGCAAACUGGAAGGCGUGCUGAGGAUACUGCCAGACUUGAGACCGGGAUGGGACAGGGGUACUUUUAGGGUAGGGGUGAAAUCCUGUAAUCCUAAGGGGACCACCUUUGGCGAAGGCGCCUGUCUGGAACGGGUCUGACGGUGAGGUGCGAAAGCUAGGGGAGCAAUCGGGAUUAGAUACCCCGGUAGUCCUAGCCGUAAACGUUGCCCUCUUGGUGUUGCAAGCUUCUCGGGAGCUUGCUGUGCCGGAGCGUAGGUGUUAAGAGGGCCGCCUGGGGAGUAUACUCGCAAGGGUGAAACUUAAGGGAAUUGGCGGGGGAACACACAAGGGGUGGGCGUUGCGGUUCAAUUAGAUUCAACGCUGGAAAUCUUACCAGUGCCGACAGCAGGGUGAGGGUCAGUCUGAAGGGCUUACCUGACAAGCUGAGAGGUGGUACAUGGCCAUCGCCAGCUCGUAUCGUGAGGCGUGCGCUUAAGUGCGUUAACGAGCGAGACCCACGUCCAAUGUUGCUAACUUUCUCUUUGGAGGAGGUGCACUCAUUGGAGACCGCUGGUGAUAAACCAGAGGAAGGUGUGGGCGACGGUAGGUCCGUAUGCCCCAAAUGCACUGGGCCACACGCGACGCACAAUGCGUGCCACAAUGGGAUGCAACUCCGAAAGGAGACGCGAAACCCCUAAAAGCACGCUCAGUUCGGAUCGAGGGCUGUAACUCGUCCUCGUGAAGCCGGAAUCCCUAGUAAGCGAACGUCAUCAUCGUUCGCUGAAUACGUCCCUGUUCCUUGCACACACCGCCCGUCAAGCCAAUCGAGCGGAAUUUCAUCGAGGCUUUGCCUCAUUGACAGUGUCGAGUUGAAGUUCUGUAAGAGGGGCUAAGUCGCCACAAGGUA